Molecule: long non-coding RNA, 1150 nt
Filed under: Gadus morhua (Atlantic cod)
Lineage: Eukaryota; Metazoa; Chordata; Actinopteri; Gadiformes; Gadidae
Description: lncRNA (ENSGMOG00000031583.1)
Source: RNAcentral
CAGAGCCCCUAAGUGUCAGUCGAAGUCAUGAGGAGAGAGGUCCUUGCAGUGAUGGCAUUUCUGAAAGAUUAUCGAGAGGACGGAUUCAAUUCUGCUAAAACAGAGGCCAGGGAGAUAGCAGAGAAGAUUAAUUUGGGGAAAAGACAGAUGAACAACAUCACCUAUCCGUGAGCCCUGGCUGAACAAGGUAUUUGAGUUGACAAAGUACAUUCUUGUUGUAUAAAGAUCAUUGCCAAAUGAAACAUGGUGUAGUGAGUAUGUUCUAAUGCUGUGUUUGUCUUUUUUUCAGGUUGGGUUCUAUACUGCUGCUCACCACUUUUCUCUGAUAUGAAGACUUUUGAGAAGACGACAACAGUAGGACUUUGUGUUUACAAAUGCUUUCUGUCUCUCACACACACACACACACACACACACACACACACACACACACACACACACAGUUUUACUCACAUGAAAUGGUGAAGGCAACAGGGAAAAUGGACAUUUGAAGAUGGAGAACUUAACCACUUGCACACCUAAACACCCCCCCCCCCCCCCCCUCUCUCUCUCUCUCUGUCUCUCUGUCUCUCUCUCUGUCUCUCUCUCUCUCUCUCCUGUCACUCACUCACCCGCUCACUCACACUGAACCACUGCUUUGCCUGUCUCUCACUCACACACACAGCCACUGUUAUUCCUGUCCACACACAAAAUAUUUUCAUUGGUCCUGUUUAAAUGUAAAUGGUGGUUUUCAUCUCUCUCUCUCUCGUUUGAGUAAUAAACAUGUAAUUUUGGCAAAGGCUGGAGAAAUCUGAAACUGAUUUUACUGUGGAGAGUUGAGUGGCAGUGCACUAUGGGUUUAUUGCGAUUCUAAGAGUAUUGGGAUGGUUAUUUGUUUUGUGUACGUGUUUCAAAAAUGAGGGCCCCAUGUCUAUAUUUUGCCUAGGGCCCCAAAAUGGCUAGAUCCGCCCCUGGGCCUACCAUCUGGAUAAUGAGAACUUUUUCAAGACAAAACUGUACGUUGAAAAGGUGAAAGUCAUCAGGGUCUCCAAAUUGGAUCCAUUACUAAAGUGUACAAUACAAAAUAAGUACCCACAUCUAGACAGUGUGUCUCUGUCUAAACAUUUUCCACUGCAUGGAACACAACGUGCGGAGGGCAUGACUUCACCUGCUG